This 254-nucleotide ribosomal RNA is filed under the name uncultured bacterium. RNAcentral describes it as "partial 16S ribosomal RNA". It matches the Rfam family "Bacterial small subunit ribosomal RNA", at positions 524 to 776 of the family's 1533-position model. The record is from RNAcentral.
CACGUAGGCACCAAGCGUUGUCCGGAUUUAUUGGGCGUAAAGAGCUCGUAGGCGGUUCAGUAAGUCGGGUGUGAAAACUCUGGGCUCAGCCCAGAGACGCCACCCGAUACUGCUGUGACUUGAGUACGGUAGGGGAGUGGGGAAUUCCUGGUGUAGCGGUGAAAUGCGCAGAUAUCAGGAGGAACACCAGUGGCGAAGGCGCCACUCUGGGCCGUAACUGACGCUGAGGAGCGAAAGCGUGGGUAGCAAACAGG